RNAcentral lists this long non-coding RNA (253 nucleotides) under Mus musculus (house mouse). Its description in RNAcentral is "long non-coding RNA chr2:87526144-87526397". Lineage: Eukaryota; Metazoa; Chordata; Mammalia; Rodentia; Muridae. The record is from RNAcentral.
UGCCUCAGUUCCAGACCUGGGAGGAGUUCAGCCGGGCGGCCGAGAAGCUCUACCUGGCGGACCCCAUGAAGGUACGGGUGGUUCUCAAAUACAGGCAUGUUGAUGGGAAUUUGUGUAUCAAAGUAACGGAUGAUCUAGUUUGUUUGGUGUACAGAACAGACCAAGCGCAAGACGUAAAGAAGAUUGAGAAAUUCCACAGUCAGUUAAUGCGACUUAUGGUGGCCAAGGAAUCCCGCAAUGUCACUAUGGAAAC